This 427-nucleotide ribosomal RNA is filed under the name uncultured bacterium. RNAcentral's name for it is "partial 16S ribosomal RNA". It matches the Rfam family "Bacterial small subunit ribosomal RNA", at positions 354 to 796 of the family's 1533-position model. The record is from RNAcentral.
GUGGGGAAUAUUGCACAAUGGGCGAAAGCCUGAUGCAGCAACGCCGCGUGAGCGAUGAAGGCCUUUGGGUCGUAAAGCUCUGUCCUUGGGGAAGAAACAAAUGACGGUACCCUUGGAGGAAGCCCCGGCUAACUACGUGCCAGCAGCCGCGGUAAUACGUAGGGGGCGAGCGUUAUCCGGAAUUAUUGGGCGUAAAGAGUGCGUAGGUGGUUUGAUAAGCGUGGGGUGAAAGGCAAUAGCUUAACUAUUGUAAGCCUUGCGAACUGUCAGACUUGAGUGCAGGAGAGGAAAGUGGAAUUCCUAGUGUAGCGGUGAAAUGCGUAGAUAUUAGGAGGAACACCAGUGGCGAAGGCGACUUUCUGGACUGUAACUGACACUGAGGCACGAAAGCGUGGGGAGCAAACAGGAUUAGAAACCCUUGUAGUCC